Vicugna pacos (alpaca) is the source of this 2825-nucleotide non-coding RNA. The record is from RefSeq and is a predicted model, not a curated record. Lineage: Eukaryota; Metazoa; Chordata; Mammalia; Artiodactyla; Camelidae.
AUUGAGCAGACCCCUGCCUCCCCAGCCUUCCCCCGCGAGCGGACGCGGCAGCGCCUCUGUCUCGCGUUUUAAAAUCCCCCCCCCCCUUUCUCCUUCCUUUUUUUUUUUUUUUUGCCCUCUUUCCCCUUCCUCCCCCACCCCUCCUUUUCUCCCUUCCCCUCCCUUUCACCAUUUCCUCUCGGAGGCGCUUCCCCCGGGCAGGGGCAGAGCCGGCCCCACCCCCCCGCCUCUCCCCGGCCCGCGCCGCCGAUGGAGAGAGGGAACCCUGUCCCCACCCGGGCACAAGCGGCGGCGGCCUCAGGUCCAGGGGUGUCACGGAACUAAUUCGCUGCCCGACCCGCCGGCUGCAGCUGUGCGGCCCGCGCCCGCGCCCUCUGGCCCCAGUCCCCCUCUUCUCCUUCCUCAGGCGGCCCCAUCCUCGUCCCGUGCGCCCAUCUGCUGCGCGCUGAGGAAAGUGAGGUGGUAACGGCCCCCGGAUGACCCCGCGUCACCUCUGGGAGGCCUACAGCUCUGCCGGGGAGGAGGAGGAGGAGGAAGAGGAGAAGGUAGCUGCAUCAAGCUGGAUGGCAGGAAGAUCCAAAGGAUAUCGUGAAGUUUCCAGGGCCUUUGGAAAACCAGAGACUGUCUCCUGUUGGGAAAGGCAGUCUCUAGGGAAGCAGGUGAAUGUGCCAAAAAUGCCUACAAAUCAGAAUGUUUCUCCAUCCCGGAGAGAUGAAGUGAUUCAGUGGCUGGCCAAACUCAAGUACCAAUUCAGUCUUUACCCAGAAACAUAUGCACUGGCUAGUAGUCUUUUGCACAGAUUCUUAGCUACUGUGAAGGCCCACCCAAAGCACUUGAGUUGUAGUGCAAUCGAAUGUUUUUUCCUGGCUGCCAAGACUGUUGAGGAGGAUGAGAGAAUUCCAGCACUGAAGUUGUUGGCAAGAGAUAGUUUCUGUGGAUGUUCUUCAUCUGAAAUUCUGAGGAUGGAGAGAAUUAUUCUGGAUAAGCUGAGCUGGGAUCUUCACCCAGCCACACCACUGGAUUUUCAUCACAUUUUCCAUGCCAUUGCAGUGUCAGCUAGGCCUCAGUUACUUUUUAGUUUGCCAAACUGAGCUCAUCUCAACAUUUGGCUGUCCUCACCAAGCAACUACUUCACUGUAUGGCCUGCAACCAACUUCUGCAAUUCAAAGGAUCCAUGCUUGCUCUGGCCAUGAUUAGUCUGGAAGUGGAGAAACUCAUUCCUGAUUGGCUUCCUCUUAGAAUUGAACUGCUUCAGAAAGCACAGAUGGAUAGCUCCCAGCUGACCCGCUGUCGGGAGCCAUGGCACAUCACCUUUCUACUCUGCAGUCCUCCCUGCCUCUAAAUUCUGUUUAUGUCUACUGUUCCCUCAAGCAUGCCCUGGUGACCUGUGACAAAGGAGUGUUCAGAUUACAUCCCUCCUCUGCCCCAGGCCCAGAGUUCUCCAAGGACAACAGCAAACCAGAAGUGCCAGUCAGAGGUCCAGCGCCUUCUACCAUCAUCUCCCAGCUCGAAUGGGUGCAAGCAUACCUCUGCUGAAUGCAAAGUAGAGGAAAUGAAAGUGAACACCUUCUACGAUGAGAUCAAAUGGCUCUGUAAUGAAGAUAAUGCUUCAGAAAAUGUGCGUUCUGUGUAUGGCACUGAUUUAUCAAGGCAAGAGGGACAUGCUUCCUUUGUCUACCUUUGCAGCCUGUUUCUGUCAUGUAGCUUCAAGGGUUACCUUCAAGUGCAAACUAAGGUAGACUACUACUCUGGGAAUGGGAACAUGGAAAACCAGGAGAGGCUAUAGAAAGGUGUAUACCUUAUCAGGCUGAUUUGAAAUGAGCCAGAAAAAAAACAUUUAUUUGUAUGGCUAAUUAUAAGUCAACAUUAUUUAAGCACUCAAAGACCAAAAACAGUGUAAAAUUCAAGAUUGAAAAAUUUUUUUAACUAAAAAAUUUGUUUGUAGUGUGUCAGUUCCACCCUUUUCUCUGCUUAAAUGUAAUGUAGAUUACCCUGUGUCAGAAAUUCAGUAUAUUUUUUUUAAAGUUCCAAAAUUCCUAGCUAGCAAACCCUGUCCCAGAAUCCUGAUUUAAUUUUCAUCUUGCUUUUACUUGCUGCUGCUUUGAAUACUUACUGAAUUUUAUGCGUGUUGAUCUUCUCCUGACUUCCACUGAUGAGGAAACCCUCAAAUUUUCUUUAGCGAUUUAGUGAACAAAUUCUUUGUGUAACAGCCCUGUUUAACCCAUGAUUCAAAUUCAAAUUAAUCUGGAAAAGGUACUUCAGAAUUGCCUCAUGAAUGAGAAGAAGUUAUAAAAAAGGACUCCCAUUACCAUGUUGAUUUGUUUGUCUCCUUUCAAUUUCUAGAGUUUGGAAACAAAAUUAUUUUCACUUUUGUUUAUUUUAAAUUGAAGCUUAAAAGUGGCAUGUGAUUAGGACACUUAGAUUUGUUGAAAGCAUUUUUGACAUUCGUAUAAAAGAAUUUGAUAAAAUUGGUAUAUCCUGGUGCUCACCAAAGAAAUAUGUUCUGUAACAGCUGAAAUUGAUUUUUUUUUCGGAUAACUGAUCAAUUCACUCAUUUAUAAUCAGUAGGAGAGACUGACUAGAUGUUGGAGCAGCUCUAUGACUUGGAUCGGUAGUAUGUAAUAGCUGAAUUCAGUGCCCUAGUUUUAUGUUUAGCUAUUAGGAUUUUCUAGAAAAAGUUAAUACCCCUGCCUCCCCAGCCUACCUAUAUUUCUUCAUGACUUAGGGAUCCUGAGCUCUCUGUGCAGUCUGAAGAAGAUAUUGCAGUCAGAACCAUGUACUGAUGAUAAAAGCCUCUGGUAGCAAUAAAGCUUGUCCUUAACCUU